Long non-coding RNA from Xenia sp. Carnegie-2017, 882 nucleotides. RefSeq lists it as uncharacterized. The transcript is spliced from 3 exons. Lineage: Eukaryota; Metazoa; Cnidaria; Anthozoa; Malacalcyonacea; Xeniidae. The record is from RefSeq and is a predicted model, not a curated record.
AAGCAAUUCGAUCUUGAUCAGUGUAAAUUUGUUUGUAUUAAAUGCAAACAAACUCAUUUCAAACAAGAUCCCGUGACAUGUCGAUGUGACCAAGACCCAGCAAUUGGACCAAUAGCAGGCUGUUCAACCAUGGACGAUAAUCAAGGAAUGAUUCUUGUGGCCGUCAUCUUCGGAGAAUUCAUCAUUCUCUUUUUGAUUUUUGAUUUUAUUCUUUGCCGCAAAAAAUCUGGCUUAUUACAUCAUCUGUGCCAAUGUUGCAAUAGACAUGCGGGACGCUCAGCACUAAACCCAACACCCUAAAUGAACGUAAAAGCUUGGUCAUGUGACUAAUAGCAUGUAAUGUUCGCCAUCAUGGAGAAUGUCAACAACAAUAGAAAGAAAUUCAUUAAUUUUAAAAGGAAUUAUAAAUCGUUACUUGAAAGAAUUCCUUUUAUCAUCAGUUUCAUUGAAAGAAUUCAAAUUGAACAGAUAUUAAUAUGUGAACAAUAAUAGUACUGUAGAUAAAUAGCAAAACUUUAGCAUUAGAACGUAUCAACUUAGUUAUAUGUAUACUGUGAAAAUACCUUGUAAAUAGCUUAGUUACCCAAGAUAGAUGAUUAUAGAAAACAAAUAGUAUUUAUUAACGAUAUCAAAAUUAUUUAAUGACCACAAAACUCCUCGUUUUGUCAGAAUCUGAUCAUAGGACAUGUAUAUAAAUUAUAAACUUUCUUAAGAAUGAAUGUAAAUCUGAUGAUUACGACAAAAGUGACCAUUUAUGUAGCUAAACUACUUACAAUGAGAAUUCACACUGCAUUGUCUUAUGACUUGGAAAAACAAAAUAAAUGUAAGAAUAAUUGUUUCAUAACUUUUUAUUCUUUAAUGGAGAAAGACCCUGAAAUGAAA